Ceratotherium simum simum (southern white rhinoceros) is the source of this 159-nucleotide long non-coding RNA. RefSeq lists it as uncharacterized. Lineage: Eukaryota; Metazoa; Chordata; Mammalia; Perissodactyla; Rhinocerotidae. The record is from RefSeq and is a predicted model, not a curated record.
GGAACUCCGAACGUCCAGACCUACAUCUCCCUACAGGGCCAUCGGUGACCCGGCUGGAGACCUUGAACGUAAAUCAGCAUCAGUCCAGGGGCCUGGUGGUAAGGUGGGAAUCCAUGUUUGUGUCUGAAGUGCUUAGCAAUAAAGCCAAGGUGGUGAGUG